Long non-coding RNA from Sebastes umbrosus (honeycomb rockfish), 537 nucleotides. RefSeq lists it as uncharacterized. The transcript has 5 exons. The record is from RefSeq and is a predicted model, not a curated record. NCBI's taxonomy places the organism in Eukaryota, Metazoa, Chordata, Actinopteri, Perciformes, Sebastidae.
CUUUGUGCUCUCCUUGUUGUCUGUUGCCAGUUCGUCUUUGCUUUUCAUAGCCAGCGUUCCAACCUUUUGUUCCUCGUGUAUAGGGAACGGGAAUGUGACGUCACCGACGGCAGGACGGCCAUUUUUGGAGGAUAAAGGGCUGAUUCUCCACGGUUAACCUCUCAUUCAAAAGCAUUUGUCCUCUUCCACGGCCUGCUGAAUCAACACAACUCCUCCUGUCUCUUCUGUUUCCUGUACAAAACAAGGACACAUCAUCUCUUUACAGUUUGAUUUCAUGCAGGUUUCACCCUCUAAUGGCGCAUAGAGCGCGAAACCAAAUGACUCCAUCUCCUGUUGUGACAAGGCCGUGUCAACAGGUUCCCUACACACAGAUCUGGGGCCUCAUUUCCUGAUAACGGGCGCUCUGAGAGGUGCUGAAAUGUUGUUCACUUGAUUCCAUAAUGGCUGAUUUAUCUAAUUAUAUGUGCAUUUUGGGAUUAUAUAAAUACAUUGCGUGGUAAAAUAAAAUAAACGUAACAAAAGGCGAUAACUCAGAAA